UGUGUGUGUGUGUGUGUGAGAUACUCAUCUACUCACCUAACGUGUCUCCUGUCAGGUGUGGAUCCAGAUCCCACGUGGGAGCACAUCCUGUUCACCGCCUGCCACAACAAGCACCUCAGCCCCCCCCAGAAGAGACUCCUCUCAUGGGCCGACGACUGGAGGGCCAUCCUGAACAGCAAGAGGCAGUGAGGAACUCCAUUACCCAGAAUCCCCAGUGGUUUACUUCCUCGUUACAGUGACAGAUCUGGGGACGAAAUCAUCGCUGAGGUUCGAGGGAACGCUGUCUCGCACAAUUAAC
Molecule: long non-coding RNA, 298 nt
Organism: Notothenia coriiceps (black rockcod)
Lineage: Eukaryota; Metazoa; Chordata; Actinopteri; Perciformes; Nototheniidae
Exons: 2
Source: RefSeq, a predicted model, not a curated record